CUGGUUGAUCCUGCCAGAGGUUACUGCUAUCGAGGUUCGACUAAGCCAUGCGAGUCGAAUGUAGCAAUACAUGGCGAACUGCUCAGUAACACGUGGACAACCUGCCCUUAGGUUGGGUAUAAACCCGGGAAACUGGGUAUAAUACCCGAUAGGUCUCGAUUGCUGGAAUGCAUCGAGAUUUAAAGCUCCGGCGCCUAAGGAUGGGUCUGCGGCCUAUCAGGUAGUAGUGGGUGUAGCGUACCUACUAGCCUACGACGGGUACGGGUUGUGAGAGCAAGAGCCCGGAGAUGGAUUCUGAGACACGAAUCCAGGCCCUACGGGGUGCAGCAGGCGCGAAAACUUUACAAUGCUGGCAACAGCGAUAAGGGAACCUCGAGUGCCAGGUUACAAAUCUGGCUGUCGAGAUGCCUAAAAAGCAUUUCAUAGCAAGGGCCGGGCAAGACCGGUGCCAGCCGCCGCGGUAACACCGGCGGCCCGAGUGGUAACCGCUUUUAUUGGGUCUAAAGGGUCUGUAGCCGGCCAAGUAAGUCCCUUGGGAAAUCUGGCAGCUUAACUGUCAGGCUUUCAGGAGAUACUGUCUGGCUCGAGGCCGGGAGAGGUGAGAGGUACUUCAGGGGUAGGGGUGAAAUCUUGUAAUCCUUGAAGGACCACCAGUGGCGAAGGCGUCUCACCAGAACGGACCUGACGGCAAGGGACGAAAGCUAGGGGCACGAACCGGAUUAGAUACCCGGGUAGUCCUAGCCGUAAACGAUACUCGCUAGGUGUCGGCCACGGUGCGACCGUUGUCGGUGCCGUAGGGAAGCCGUGAAGCGAGCCACCUGGGAAGUACGGCCGCAAGGCUGAAACUUAAAGGAAUUGGCGGGGGAGCACCACAACGGGUGGAGCUUGCGGUUUAAUUGGAUUCAACGCCGGG
Molecule: ribosomal RNA, 913 nt
Filed under: uncultured archaeon
Lineage: Archaea
Description: bacterial SSU rRNA
Rfam family: Archaeal small subunit ribosomal RNA
Source: RNAcentral